Molecule: unclassified non-coding RNA, 259 nt
Filed under: uncultured fungus
Lineage: Eukaryota; Fungi
Description: partial contains small subunit ribosomal RNA, internal transcribed spacer 1, and 5.8S ribosomal RNA
Rfam family: Eukaryotic small subunit ribosomal RNA (bases 1-73)
Source: RNAcentral
GCAAACUUGGUCAUUUAGAGGAAGUAAAAGUCGUAACAAGGUAACCGUAGGUGAACCUGCGGUUGGAUCAUUAACGAAAUUAGAAGGUCUUAAGGCCUUUCUAACACUUGUGAACUUGUACAUGUCUCUGGCGGCUGCUAACGCUCCGCUUGUUUAUUUGUAAACUUGUAGAAAUAUAUGUCUAGACCUUAAAAAAGUUUAAUUUAAAACAACUUUUGACAACGGAUCUCUAGGCUCUCGCAUCGAUGAAGAACGCAGC